This 253-nucleotide ribosomal RNA is filed under the name uncultured bacterium. RNAcentral describes it as "partial 16S ribosomal RNA". It matches the Rfam family "Bacterial small subunit ribosomal RNA", at positions 524 to 776 of the family's 1533-position model. The record is from RNAcentral.
UACGUAGGGUGCGAGCGUUAAUCGGAAUUACUGGGCGUAAAGCGUGCGCAGGCGGUUCGUUGUGUCGGCGGUGAAAGCCCCGGGCUUAACCUGGGAAUGGCCGUCGAAACUGGCGAACUGGAGUGUGGCAGAGGGGGGUGGAAUUCCGCGUGUAGCAGUGAAAUGCGUAGAGAUGUGGAGGAACACCAGUGGCGAAGGCGACUUUCUGGCCUAUAACUGACGCUGAGGCGCGAAAGCGUGGGGAGCAAACAGG